This is a long non-coding RNA of Pectinophora gossypiella (pink bollworm), 451 nucleotides long. RefSeq lists it as uncharacterized. NCBI's taxonomy places the organism in Eukaryota, Metazoa, Arthropoda, Insecta, Lepidoptera, Gelechiidae. The transcript has 3 exons. The record is from RefSeq and is a predicted model, not a curated record.
GGUACAAGGUGACGCACCGCUGCACGGAGUUCCUCAACCUGACACACUCGCAGGAAGAGACGCGAAGUUCAGCUCAGACUAAGGUUACAAAUGAUGGUGAAAUGAAGAAGCUGGCGUCCGACAUUGCCGGCAACUCGACGGCAGGAAAUAGUCUCACCACAGCCCCUAAAGUAACACCUAAGAAAACGCCCCGGCCCCCGUACAAGGCGCCGCACCGCGCUGCCAUCUACCCGCACUACGAGGACGACGAGUAAAUUAACCAUAUACCUUAAAUAAGUACAUACACAUUACAUCGCCCCUAUAUUAAUGACGUCAACGGUCGACGACCCCGACGACGUACAAGAAGCAUCACCUCGCGAUUUGCAUUGAGAACUAUGGAUAAAAAAAACAUCAAUAUAACAGUAUAAAUAAAAACUAGGGAUGCGCCGAAUAUUCUUUGUCGGUGCCGGAU